Molecule: ribosomal RNA, 594 nt
Filed under: uncultured bacterium
Lineage: Bacteria
Description: bacterial SSU rRNA
Rfam family: Bacterial small subunit ribosomal RNA
Source: RNAcentral
UUGGUGAGGUAACGGCUCACCUAGGCAAUGAUAGGUAGGCGGCCUUAACGGGUGGUCGCCCACACUGGGAUUGAGAUACGGCCCAGACUCCUACGGGAGGCAGCAGUCGAGAAUAGUCUACAAUGGUCGGAAGACUGAUAGUGCGACGCCGCGUGAACGAUGAAUCCCUUCGGGGUGUAAAGUUCUUUUAUAUGUGAGCAGUGCUUCUUAUAUUAAGAGUAUGGGGAGAGAGAUAUUAGCAUAUGAAUAAGCAACGGCUAACUCCGUGCCAGCAGCCGCGGUAACACGGGGGUUGCGAGCGUUGUCCGGAAUUACUAGGCGUAAAGGGCAGGCAGGCGGAUCCAUAAGUUUAUCGUUUAAGGCGUCGGCUUAACCGGCGUAGGGCGGUAGAUACUGUGGAUCUGGAAUGCGGUUGGGGAAGACAGAAUUCCUGGUGUAGCGGUGGAAUGCGCAGAGAUCAGGAGGAAUACCGAAGGCGAAGGCAGUCUUCCAAGCCGUUAUUGACGCUCAACUGCGAAGGUGUGGGUAUCAAACAGGAUUAGAUACCCUGGUAGUCCACACAGUAAACGAUAAUCACUGGGUGUCGGGUUCGCA